RNAcentral lists this ribosomal RNA (253 nucleotides) under uncultured bacterium. RNAcentral describes it as "partial 16S ribosomal RNA". It matches the Rfam family "Bacterial small subunit ribosomal RNA", at positions 524 to 776 of the family's 1533-position model. The record is from RNAcentral.
UACGGAGGGCGCGAGCGUUAAUCGGAAUUACUGGGCGUAAAGCGCGCGUAGGCUGUUGUGUAAGUUGGGGGUGAAAUCCCACGGCUCAACCGUGGAACAGCCCUUGAUACUGCGCGACUUGAAUCCGGGAGAGGGUGGCGGAAUUCCAGGUGUAGGAGUGAAAUCCGUAGAUAUCUGGAGGAACAUCAGUGGCGAAGGCGGCCACCUGGCCCGGUAUUGACGCUGAGGCGCGAAAGCGUGGGGAGCAAACAGG